UCUACUUUGGUGUAUAGCAUGACUACUUUUCGUGUAGUUGGAGAUUUAGAUCAAGUAGCA
RNAcentral lists this transfer RNA (60 nucleotides) under Didymobothrium rudolphii. Its description in RNAcentral is "tRNA-Glu". The record is from RNAcentral. Lineage: Eukaryota; Metazoa; Platyhelminthes; Cestoda; Spathebothriidea; Acrobothriidae.